This 292-nucleotide long non-coding RNA is filed under the name Carica papaya (papaya). Its description in RNAcentral is "long non-coding RNA (CPAP_LNC005594)". Lineage: Eukaryota; Viridiplantae; Streptophyta; Magnoliopsida; Brassicales; Caricaceae. The record is from RNAcentral.
CCCGAAUAAAUAGGAAUUUUGAAAUUAAUUAAGCACAGGGGUAGGCGGAGUGUUACAAAUGAUGAAGUUAGAAUGACUAAUUCUUUAAGGAAUUUAAAUGUUGAAAAACUUCUAAACAAAGUAAAUACCAAAAUGAAAAACAAAAUCACACAUAAGGAACGAUCUAAGGGGAAAUGCUAACAAAAACUUAUUUAAAGAUUGAAGGUGUGCUCAUGGAUAUCCCAAAGAGCAAAUUAUAGGAGAUACCUCUUGUGGUUACUAGAGCCUAUUUAAGAAAUAAAUGCAACUAUAU